RNAcentral lists this long non-coding RNA (273 nucleotides) under Coccomyxa subellipsoidea. Its description in RNAcentral is "long non-coding RNA (CSUB_LNC000783)". Lineage: Eukaryota; Viridiplantae; Chlorophyta; Trebouxiophyceae; Coccomyxaceae. The record is from RNAcentral.
GACGUCAUAUGAGGAGGAUCUGGUUACGGGCAGUGCUUCCUCAGCUUCCGGAACCCCACGCAGCGCUUCACUGCUGCUGCCCUAAGUCAGGCUACAAACAAUUGGAAAUUGGGUGCAAUUUCUACCCCACUAGAGAUCCACAGCUUAUUUUGAGAGCUAUGAGGGAGUGGCAAAGUCUGAGCGAUGUCACGAACAAGGCACUAGGGAACCCACAACAGGAAAUUAGUGAGAGACCCUUUUUGCACAGAUUCUAACACAUCUACAGAUACAAGA